UGGUGGAGUGAUUUGUCUGCUUAAUUGCGUUAACGAACGAGACCUUAACCUACUAAAUAGGUGAUAUGAUGCAAUCAUAUCUUUCUUCUUAGGGGGACUUCGCGUUUUUAGCGCGAGGAAGUUUGAGGCAAUAACA
RNAcentral lists this ribosomal RNA (136 nucleotides) under uncultured eukaryote. RNAcentral describes it as "partial 18S ribosomal RNA". It matches the Rfam family "Eukaryotic small subunit ribosomal RNA", at positions 1299 to 1458 of the family's 1831-position model. The record is from RNAcentral.